Molecule: unclassified non-coding RNA, 299 nt
Filed under: fungal sp.
Lineage: Eukaryota; Fungi
Description: partial internal transcribed spacer region
Rfam family: Eukaryotic small subunit ribosomal RNA (bases 1-46)
Source: RNAcentral
AAGUCGUAACAAGGUUUCCGUAGGUGAACCUGCGGAAGGAUCAUUACCAUACCUUCACAACAAGCCCUGCGCUUUCGAGAGAAUUGCAGGCAACUACCAUGAGCAAGCGCCACGCGGUUCCGCGUGGCGCGAGGGAAAGAAUCAUGCUGAUAUGAGUGAAUCUUUCUAGCGCCGUUCCCCCAACGACACUCCGGUGUCGGCGGGGAGCUCUGAGAACGGACUCGGUGCUUUCACCGAACCCCUGUGCUUGAAAAGGAACAAAAAUAUAGUACAACUGCAAACGGUGGAUCACUCGGCUC